GGCACUCCCUCCCUCCCCAACGACCCCCUCUCCCUCAGCACUCAACCGAUUGUCCUUUCCAGUCGGCCAUCGGGCCGUGAGAUCAUCCUUGCGGUCUUGCUCCUGAUUGGUCGUAGCAUCUUUCGUAUUUGCUUUCCUGGCCCCAACGCCCUCACCCGUGAGAUGAAGUCGGCACUGCUGUCGGGGCCGAACAGGUCGAGGCUGCGCGUGGCGUAGAGCAGGCCUCGCUCGCUGGAGCUUUGGGCGCUGAGCGUGUCGAAGAUCUCCCCCAGCAGGUCCAUCUCCUCGGGGUCGGGUAGUGGCGGCGGAGACUCCGGCUCCUCCUCCUCCAGGUACAGGUGGAACGGCGCGUCCUCCCCAUCUGCUGAGCUCUGCUCAGCGGAACCAGCUGGCGACCUACGGCAAAGCGAAGAAGAAGUCGAUUAAAAAAAAAACAUACAGCGCCCUCUACAGUUGGGGCAUGUCAACGCAAAAUGAGAUCUGUUGGUCAAAAACAUUUUACAAAAAUGCUGUUGGAUAUUCUAAAUCCACAUGGUUACCAAUCUUCUCAAUAAAGAGGCGUUUUGUUAAA
This is a long non-coding RNA of Alosa sapidissima (American shad), 571 nucleotides long. RefSeq lists it as uncharacterized. The record is from RefSeq and is a predicted model, not a curated record. Lineage: Eukaryota; Metazoa; Chordata; Actinopteri; Clupeiformes; Clupeidae. The transcript is spliced from 2 exons.